Molecule: ribosomal RNA, 429 nt
Filed under: Gemmatimonadota bacterium
Lineage: Bacteria; Pseudomonadati; Gemmatimonadota
Description: Gemmatimonadetes bacterium partial 16S ribosomal RNA
Rfam family: Bacterial small subunit ribosomal RNA
Source: RNAcentral
UAGGGAAUCUUCGGCAAUGGACGAAAGUCUGACCGAGCAACGCCGCGUGAGUGAAGAAGGUUUUCGGAUCGUAAAACUCUGUUGUUAGAGAAGAACAAGGACGUUAGUAACUGAACGUCCCCUGACGGUAUCUAACCAGAAAGCCACGGCUAACUACGUGCCAGCAGCCGCGGUAAUACGUAGGUGGCAAGCGUUGUCCGGAUUUAUUGGGCGUAAAGCGAGCGCAGGCGGUUUCUUAAGUCUGAUGUGAAAGCCCCCGGCUCAACCGGGGAGGGUCAGUGGAAACUGGGAGACUUGAGUGCAGAAGAGGAGAGUGGAAUUCCAUGUGUAGCGGUGAAAUGCGUAGAUAUAUGGAGGAACACCAGUGGCGAAGGCGGCUCUCUAGUCUGUAACUGACGCUGAGGAUCGAAAGCGUGGGGAGCAAACAGG